This 88-nucleotide transfer RNA is filed under the name Gomphillus americanus. It matches the Rfam family "tRNA". Rfam says of the family: Transfer RNA (tRNA) molecules are approximately 80 nucleotides in length. Their secondary structure includes four short double-helical elements and three loops (D, anti-codon, and T loops). The record is from Rfam by way of RNAcentral. Lineage: Eukaryota; Fungi; Ascomycota; Lecanoromycetes; Ostropales; Graphidaceae.
GCGCCAGUGGUUCACCGGUAGAAUGCCUGCUUCCCACUUUUGUGUUUGAAGAUAGCAGGCGAACCGGGUUCGACUCCCGGCUGGCGCA